GAUGGUAAGGAGUGGCAGAGAGCAGAGAAGAAGGGAGAGGUGCCGGGCAGGCGGCUGCAGAGGCAGGGCAGGACCGGGCCUGCCGAGGGCUGCUGCGGUCCCCGACCCCGGCGGCCCCCAAAUGCACGGAGCGACAGGCAAAAAGACAGGUGAGGGAGGAGCGCACCAAGGACCAGGCGGCCGGCCACGAGGCAGGAGGAGGACGGCAGUUCGGAAAACCGAGCGAACGCGCGCAGCACAGAAAUACUAACCCGGAGGCUGCGAGCGAGCGAGGCGCGGCGGCCCCGGCUGCGGCGCUCCACCCGCUACCCUACCGGGGCGAGGAGGGAGGCGGCGGCCCGCCCCGAGCACGAAAAGCCAUCUCGGUAUCCCCGGGCGCGGCGCCGCUCGCUCGGGGGCCGUGGUUCCCCGCUCCCUCCGCGUGCGGGCGCCCAGCUCCCCGGCUGGCCCGCGCCGCGAGGCCCCGCCAGGCGGGCGCCCCCGCUCCCCGCGCUGCCGGCUGCCGCGGGGACAGCGCCUAACUCCGGGGAACAAUGGCCUCCGCGCUUCGCGGGAGUCCUCCCGGCUAAGCGAAACCCCGGCUCCUGUUUGCAAAACAGAUUUUUAAUGCCGGUCACAAUGCCAGGUGGAGGACGCUCAACGGCUCUGAGUCUGCCAUGAAGAUGAAUGUGUGCCCACGCCACGCACACACACAAUCCCAGGCCAUAGAGAACACCAUCAACACUGCUGACUCCCUCUCUCGUUUUCAUGGCCCUCGGCUACCACGACUGCUGCCUGUUACCUAACUGCAGUAAGGACUUGAGCAUUCACUUGAACGACGUGCACACUCUUCUACUAAUCAUUUAUUUGCUCUGGUUUGAAUCCCCCCAAAUAGUUCACAGUAAGUGACGGGCGCAGUUGGGAAUUGAGAGUGUGUUCUCUGAGUGGGACAAGGUCUCCCAGCUGUGACAAGAAGACCCGUCUAUCCAUGUCCCGAGUGCUCAUCCAGGCUGAGGUAGGUACUAGGGUGUCGGGAUGAAAGAGCAACCAGGAAGCUCCCCGGAAGAGAGUGCUGCACGAAGAGAGAGUCACAAGUGUGGGAAUUGGUAACAAGAGAUGUUUAAGGGGAGGGAGCACAGGGCACAGGAAGAGCCAAGUUCGAGGCUAAGCAGAGUCACCCACACUGGCUCCAGGUUCUUCCUCCCUUUCUGAUGGUACAGCAUACCCUUCAUAGCAACAGACAUUUAAUGAGCACCAACUACCUUCCGAAGACUCUGCUAGGAGCAGAGAGGAGUGAACAACAAAAAAUGAUUACAACAACGAAGGUCAUUAACGGGCAUUUACGCGUGGCCCUCAGCUGAGUGAGGAUGACGGCACUUUCCCAUUUCAGCAAGGUGAACGGUAGGUACUAGAGCACAGAGCUGCGAUAUGGGACGGGGCAUCGAGCGUCAGCACCUGAGCUGGAAGACGCCAGAGCAGCCUGAACAGUAAUCGAUACCACCUCAACUGUGAGCACGAACGGCACCAGUGCCACCGUUACAGCCGCCAGUUCCACAAGCCAAGCACGUCACCAUCAAGCACCCCGUCUGUGCUGUCGCACGCGAGACGUGCGCGGUAUCUCAUCGGAUCCCCGGUGCAGGCUUAUUACGUUGUCACGUUUCCCAGGUAAGAAAAGGAGACGGAGAAAUCAAGCUUGCCCGAGGUUACAGAGUAAGCAGGGGAGAGUGGGAAGGGAGGCAAGUCGUCUGCUCCAGAAUCCGCCUCUCCGGGUGCGUGCUACGCAGCCCUGUGGCAAUCCGCUGUUGCUGACCACCAACAGAGCCGGCCGGGAGGCACGUCUAGGGGCAGGAGUUCCCCAAAGUCUGCCAAGUUGGAAAACAUUUUGUACUGUGACUGCUACAACGACCUAAUUUUUAUCUUUGCUGUUGUCGUGCCUGGUGGAAGAUCAAGACGCCCGGGGCCGAGUGUCUACUUUGGGGAAGGCCACACCUGGAGAUCUUAUCUGCUUCUCAACACCCCCAAAUAACCAGCUGGGUACCUUGGACAAGUCACUUUAACGCGCCGAGCCUCAGUUUUCGUUAUCUCCAAAAUAAAGGGGUUGGACUCAA
Long non-coding RNA from Neofelis nebulosa (Clouded leopard), 2087 nucleotides. RefSeq lists it as uncharacterized. NCBI's taxonomy places the organism in Eukaryota, Metazoa, Chordata, Mammalia, Carnivora, Felidae. The transcript has 2 exons. The record is from RefSeq and is a predicted model, not a curated record.